UCAGGAUGAACGCUGGCGGCGUGCAUAACACAUCAAGUCGAACGGUGAAGGAAGCUUGCUUCCGGAGUCAGUGGCGGACGGGUGAGUAACGCGUGAGCAACCUGCCCUGCAUUGGGGGAUAACACAGGGAAACUUGUGCUAAUACCUCAUGACACAUACUUACCGCAUGAUAGGUAUGUCAAAGAGCGAUCGAUGCAGGAUGGGCUCGCGUAUGAUUAGGUAGUUGGCGGGGUAAGGGCCCACCAAGCCUGCGAUCAUUAGCCGAACUGAGAGGUUGAACGGCCACAUUGGAACUGAGAAACGGUCCGGACUCCUACGGGAGGCAGCAGUGGGGAAUAUUGGGCAAUGGGCGAAAGCCUGAACCCCCAGCGACGCCGCGUGAGGGAAGACGGUCUUCGGAUUGUAAACCUCUUUCAGCAGGGAAGAAGAAAGUGACGGUACCUGCAGAAGAAGUCACGGCUAACUACGUGCCAGCCGCUGC
This 481-nucleotide ribosomal RNA is filed under the name uncultured bacterium. RNAcentral's name for it is "bacterial SSU rRNA". It matches the Rfam family "Bacterial small subunit ribosomal RNA", at positions 24 to 518 of the family's 1533-position model. The record is from RNAcentral.